UGCCGCGGCGCCGACUGUGUCGGCGGCCAAGGAGAAGCCGUGCAGGAAAUUCCGGGCCAAUAUCUUCCAGAAGAGCAAGUGUCAGAACUGCUUCAAGCACCGCGAGUCUUAUCUUCUCAAGGAGGAGGACCUGACGCAGGCAAAACCCUUUUUUGGUGGUUGGCCACUUCUGGCUCCAGAUGGGACCAACUUUAACAGCUUAGUGCACUGGUUUCAGAAAUGGCAGCAACAGUUCUUCAUCCUUUAUGAGCACGGCCUCUUGCACUACACCCUGGAUGAGAUGGUACCCAGUGUCUGAGUGGGCAACACUCUGCAGGUAGGGAAUGUGGAGCAGGCCCAGUGCUUCUGUACCACGGUUCUCCUGUGUGCUGGACCCGGCCAUGGAGCACGAAGUCCAGCGAGUCCGCCAGGCGUUCCUAUCCGGCCGGUCACGACCCUUGCGGUUCCGGCUGCAGCAGCUGGAGGCCCUGCGGAGGAUGGUGCAGGAGCGCGAGAAGGACAUCCUGGCGGCCAUCGGCUCCGAUCUGUGCAAGAGCGAAUUCAAUGCAUACAGUCAGGAAGUCAUUGCUGUCCUUGGGGAAAUUGAUUUUAUGCUUGAAAAUCUUCCUGAAUGGAUUACUGCUAAACCAGUUAAGAAGAACCUGCUCACCAUGCUGGAUGAGGCCUAUCUUCAGCCACAGCCUCUAGGAGUUGUGCUGAUAAUCGGAGCUUGGAACUACCCCUUUGUUCUCACCAUUCAGCCACUGAUAGGAGCCAUUGCUGCAGGAAAUGCUGUGAUUAUCAAGCCUUCUGAACUGAGUGAAAAUACAGCCACAAUCUUGGCUAAGCUUCUGCCUCAGUAUUUAGACCAGGACCUCUAUAUUGUUAUUAAUGGUGGUGUUGAGGAAACCACAGAGCUCCUGAAGCAGCGAUUUGACCACAUUCUCUAUACGGGAAACACUACAGUCGGGAAAAUUGUCAUGGAAGCUGCUGCCAAGCAUCUGACCCCUGUGACUCUUGAACUGGGAGGGAAAAGUCCAUGUUAUAUUGACAAAGACUGUGACCUGGACAUUGUUUGCAGACGUAUAACCUGGGGAAAAUACAUGAAUUGUGGCCAAACGUGCAUUGCCCCCGACUACAUUCUCUGUGAAGCAUCCCUCCAGAAUCAAAUUGUGCAGAAGAUUAAAGAAACGGUGAAGGAAUUUUAUGGAGAAAAUGUAAAAGAGUCUCCUGAUUAUGAAAGGAUCAUCAAUCAUCGUCAUUUUAAGAGGAUACUAAGUUUGCUUGAAGGACAAAAGAUAGCUUUUGGUGGGGAGACAGAUGAGGCCACACGCUACAUAGCCCCAACAGUACUUACUGAUGUUGAUCCUAAAACCAAAGUGAUGCAAGAAGAAAUUUUUGGACCAGUUCUUCCAAUAGUGCCUGUGAAAAAUGUAGAUGAGGCCAUAAAUUUCAUAAAUGAACGUGAAAAGCCUCUGGCUCUCUACGUAUUUUCACAUAACCAUAAGCUCAUCAAACGGAUGAUUGAUGAGACAUCCAGUGGAGGUGUCACAGGCAAUGAUGUCAUCAUGCACUUCAUGCUCAACUCUUUCCCCUUUGGAGGAGUGGGUUCCAGUGGAAUGGGAGCUUAUCAUGGAAAACAUACUUUCGAUACUUUUUCUCAUCAGCGUCCCUGUUUAUUAAAAGGUUUAAAGAGAGAAGGUGCUAACAAACUCAGAUAUCCUCCCAACAGCCAGUCAAAGGUGUACUGGGGAAAAUUUUUUCUCUUGAAACGGUUCAACAAAGAAAAACUCGGUCUCCUGUUGCUCACUUUCCUGGGUAUUGUAGCAGCUGUGCUUGUCAAGGCUGAAUAUUACUGAAGAAUGAUCCUGUUCAACCUCAUAGUGCCUCUACUGAAUUAUUCCUCUUUUAAAUGGGACUUGGAUAAAUCUGGAAACCAUCAUUCUCAGCAAACUGAUGCAAGAACAGAAAACCAAACACGGCAUGUUCUCACUCAUAGGUGGGUGCUGAAAAAUGACAACAUGUGGACUCUGGGAGAGGAGCAUCACACACUGGGGGUAGUGAGGGGGUCUAGGGUAGGGACAGCGGGGUCGGGGGAAGGAUGGGGAGGGAUAACAUGGGGAGAAAUGCCAGAUAUAGAUGAAGGGAGAAUAGAGGCAGCAAACCACCUGGUUAUGUAUGUGCCUAUGCAACAGCCCUGCAUGACCUGCACAUGUACUCCAGAACCUAAAGUAAAAUUUAAAAUAAUAAUUAAUAAAUAAAAGAAAUAUGCUGUGCAUAUUGCUGGUUAUUAUAUGUCAUGGCAUGAUCUUUUUUUGACUUAAAAAAAGACUUCUUCCAAAUUAUGAUUGAUGUACCCUGGACCAGUGUUUCUCAAACAGGGAGGGGAAUUUCUGGGAUAUUUUUGUUGUGACAACUUCGGGGGUGUGGUGGGGGGAAGGUGUUACAGCAUCUAGUGGGUAGAGACCAGGGAUGCUGCUAAACAUCACACAAUGCUCAGGGACCACCCCCCCCAACAAAGAGUUAUCUGGAGCCUAUUCACAUGGGCUGGAGAUACCAAGAGUUCCCAGAAGAAAGUAAAAGCCAGGACACACUUGAAAAAAGCUGGAACUCUGAAUGUGUCUCUAGCCCACAAUGGAUCUGUCAGCAGAGAAUGGAAGCCUUGCUAGCUAUCAGAGGUGUUGAGCACAAUCUCUAACCAAUAAUUAGCUGAACACUAAGCUCUGCAGACAUUUUUAAACCUAGAAAGAUAGAACGUUUUAAACUAGAAAGUUAGAUUUAAGAACGAGGAGAAAAAAACUGAGCAAGAGGUAAGCAGCUGCAGAUUGCAGAGACGAGAGCCACAGAAUCGGUGUAAGCAAGUUAUUUAACCAACACAGUGACGUUCCUUGGGUGUAAAUCUCACAUGCAACAUUCUCCAGGAUAGACUUGCAGUAGGCCACAAAACAAAUCUCAAUAAACUAAACUUAUAAAAAAAUGUUGUUAAAGAGACAGAGUCUGGCUAUGUUGCCCUGACUGGUCUUGAACUCCUAGGCUCAAGCAAUGCUCUCAUCUCAGCCUCCUGAGUACCUGGGACUACAGGCACACACCAUCAUUCCUGGCAAAUUUUGAAAGACUGAAUUCAUACAAAGUAUGUUCUCUGGCCACAAUAGAAUUAAAUUAGAGAUGCCUACCAGAAAUAAAACCCCAAAUAUUUGGAAAUUAAAUGUACUUCUAAACCAUAAGUCAAAGAAUAAACCACAAAAGAAAUUUUAAAAUAUUUUGAACUUGAAAAUUUUGAUGAACAUCAAAAUUUAUUGGAUGCAACUAAGGCAAUGCUUAGAGGAAAAUGUACAGCUUCAAAUGCCUGUAUCAGAAAAGGAGAAAGGUCUCAAACCAGUGACCUAAUAUUCUACCAUAAGAAGCUAGUAAAGAGGCCAGGCGCAGUGGCUCACACCUGUAAUCCCAGCACUUUGGGAGGCCGAGGUGGGCAGAUCAUGAGGUCAGGAGUUCAAGACCAGCCUGGCCAACAUGGCAAAACCCAUCUCUACUAAAAAUGCAAAAAUUAGCUGGGUGUGGUGGCACAUAUCUGUAAUCCCAGCUACUUGGGAGGUUGAGGCAGAAGGAUCACUUGAACCCAGGAGGCGGAGGUUGCAGUGAGCCGAGAUCGUGCCACUGCAUUGCAGCCUGGGUGGCAGAACAAGACUCCAUCUCAAAAAAAGAAGCUAGUAAGGAAGAACAAACUAUACCUAAAUAAAGUAAAAGAUUAGUGUGGGCCAGGCAUGGUGGAUCACACCUGUAAUCCCAGCACUUUAGGAAGCCAAGAUAGGAGGAUUGCUUGAAGCUAGGAGUUUGAGACCAGCUUGGGCAAUAUAGUAAGACUCUGUCUUUACAAAAAAUAAAUAAAAAUUUAAAAAUAGAUUAGUAUGAAGUAAUUGAAAUAAACAGCAGAAGACUAAAAGAUGCAACUAUUUUUUUAAAAAACUGCUUUUCAAGACAUGGACAGUAUAAGAUAGAAACCACAAAGUUAAGAAGCAGCAGGGAAUGAAGUUAAAAGUUUUUAUUAAUUUUCUCUGUUUUUGCAAUCAGUUUAGUUGUCAUUAAUUUGAAAAUAAUGGAUCAUUGGCCAGGCACAGUGGCUCACACCUGUAAUCCCAGCACUUUGGGAGGCCGAGGCAUGUGGAUCACCUGAGAUCAGAAGUUUGAGACCAGCCUGGCCAACAUGGUGAAACCCUGUCUCUACUAAAAAUACAAAAAUGAGCCAGGUGUGGUGGUGCACACCUGUAAUCCCAGCUACUCAAGAGGCUGAGGCAGGAGAAUCGCUUGAACCCGGGAGGUGGGGGUUGCAGUGAGCCGAGAUCAUUGCACUCCAGCCUGGGCUACAAGAGCCAGACCCUGUCUCAAAUAAAUAAUAGUAAUAAUAAUAAUGAUGGUUAUAAGAUGUAAUUUGCAAGCCUCAUGGUAACCCCAAAUCAAAAAACCUACAAAAGGCAAAAUGGCAGUACUAAGUCCUAACUUAUCAAUAAUAACAUUGAAUGUAAACGAACUAAACUCUCUAGUCAAAAGACAAAGAGUGGCUCAGUUGGUUAAAAAAAAACCCAGUGAUCUGUUGCCUACAAGAAGCACACUUCACCUAAAAGACACACAUAGACUGAAAAUAAAGAGAUGGAAAAAGAUACUGCAUACAAAUUGAAACCAAAAGUGAUCAGGAGUAGCUUAUACUUAGACAAAAUAGAUUUCAAGAGAAAACCUAUAAAAAGAACCAAGGUCAUUAUAUCAUGAUAAAGGGGUCAAUUCAGCAAGAGAAUAUAACAUUUAUAAAUAUAUAUAUAUAUAUAUAUCUACCCAACACUGGGGCACCCAGAUAUAUAAAGGAGAUAUUAUUAGAACUAAAGAGAGAGAGAUUUCAAUACAAUAAUAGCUAGAGAUUUCAGUAUCCCACUUGCAGCACUGGACAGAUCAUCCAGACAGAAAGUCAACAAAGAAACAUUGGACUUAAUCUGCUCUGUAGACCAAAUGCACCUGACAGAUAUUUACAGAAGACUUCAUUCGGCUGCUGCAGAAUACACAUUCUUCUCCUCAACAUAGGGAUCAUUCUCAAGGAUAGACCGUAUGUUGGAUCACAAAACAAGCCUUAAAAAAAAUUUUUUUUAAUUGAAUUAUAUCAGAUAUUUUCUCUGACCACAUUGAAAUAAAACUAGAAAUUAUAACAAGAGGAACUUUGGAAACUCUACAAACACAUGGAAAUUAGUAUGCUCCUGAAUGACCAGUGGGCCAAGGAAGAAAUUAAGGAAAUUUAAAAUUUUUCUUGAAACAAAUGAUAUGGAAACAACAUAUCAAAACCAAUGUGAUACAAUGAAAGCAGUACUAAGAAAGUUUACAGCAAUAAGGACCUACAUCAAAGGGAAAAACAUCAAAUAACCAGAUGAUUCAUCUUAAAGGCUAGGAAAACAAGAGCAAACCAAAUUCCAAAUUAGCAGAAGAAAACAAAGAAUAAAAGAGCAGAAAUAGCUUAAAUUGAAACAGACCAAAAAAACACAAAAGAUCAAUGAAACAAAAAUUUGUUUUUUCGAAAAAAAUAAAAUAGACAAACCUUUAGCCAGACUAAGAAAAAAAAAGAUCCAAAUAAAUAAAAUCAAAUGAGAAAGGAGACACAACUAAGACCAGUAAAUGCAAAGGAUCAUUAAUUACUACUAUAAGCAACUACGUAUUUAUUUCCAAUAAAUUGGAAAACCUAGAAGAAAUGGAUAAAUUCUUAGACACAUACAACCUACCAAAAUGCAACCAUGAACAAAUCUGAAACCUGAACAGGCCAAUAACAAUAAUGAGAUUGAAGGUGUAAUAAUAAGUCUCCUACCACUUCUUGGCCUUUGGCUAAGAUCCUAGCAAAGAAAAGCCCAGGACCCAUUGACUUCACUGCUGAAUUUUACUAAGCAUUUAAAGAACCAAUACCAGUCUUAUUCAAUCUAUUGAAAAAAAAUAGAGGAGGGAGGAAAAUUUCCAAUAUCAUUCUACGAGGCCUGUAUUAUCUUGUUACCAAAACCAGACAAAGACACAUCAAAAAAAGAAACUGCAGCCUAGUAUCCCUGAUAACAAAAAUCCUCAACAAAAAUACUAGCAUACUGAAUUCAGUAACACAUUAACAAGAUUAUUCAUCCAUGACCAAGUGGGAUUUAUCUGUGGGAUAUAAGGAUGAUUCAACACAUGCAAUAUGUCAAUCAAUAUGAUACCUCAUACCAACAGAAUUAAGGACAAAAAUCAUAUGAUCAUUUCAAUUGAUGCUGAAAAGUGUUUAAUGAAAUUCAGCAUCCCUUCAUGACAAAAAAUAAAAACCUCAGAAAAACUGGGUAUAGGGGGAACAUUAACACAAUAAAAGCCUUAUAUAACAGACCCACAGCUAGUAUCAUACCAAACGGGAAAACUGGAAGCCUUUCCUCUAACAUCUGGAACAGGACAAGGAUACCCACUUUCACCACUAUUAUUCAAAAUAGUACUGGAAGUCCUAGCUAGAGCAGACAAGAGAAAUAAAUAAAGUGCAUCUAGAUUGAAAAGGAAGUCAAAUUAUUCUUGUUUGCAGGUGAUAUCUUUUUUUUUUUUGGAGACAGAGUCUCACUUUGUUGCCCAGGCUGGAGGGUUCAGGCAGUUCUGCCUCAGCCUCCCAAGUAGCUAGGGUUACAGGCAUGCGCCACAAAGCCUGGUUAAUUUUUGUUUUUUUUGUUUUUAGUAGAAAUGGGGCUUCACCAUGUUGUCCAGGCUAGUCUUGAACUACUGACUUCAAAUGAUCCAUCUGCCUCAGCCUCCCAAAUGCUGGGAUUACAGGUGUGAGCCACCACACCUAGCUGGUGAUAUCAUCUUAUUUUUUUUUAGAGACAGGAUCUUGCUCUGUCAUCCAGGCUGGAGUGCAAUGGUGGAUUCACAGCUCACUACAGCCUUGACCUCUUGAGCUCAAGUAGUCUUCCACCUCAGCCUCUCAAGUAGUUAGGACUACAGGCAUGCACCACCAUACCAGGUGACUUUUCUGUUUUAAUAGAGAUGUGCUACCAUUCCUGGCUAACUUAAAAAUCUUUUUGGAGAAACAGGAUCUCACUAUGUUGCCCAGGCUGGUCUCAAACUCCUGGCCUCAAGCAGUCUUCCUGCCUCAGCCUCCCACAAUGCUGGGAUUACAGUUGUGAGCUGUCUGACACAGAUAAUAGGAUCUUACAUUUGGAAAAACCUAAAGACCCCCACCAAAAAACUAUUAGAACUGAUAAAUCCAAGAAAGUUACAGUAUAUGAAAUCAACGUAUGAAAAUCAAUAACAUUUCUAUAUACCAACAGUGAACAAUCUGAAAAAUCAAGACAGUAAACCCAUUUAUAAUAGCUACAAAUAAAAUACUCAGGAACAAAUUAACCAAAGAAAUGAAAGAUGGCCAAGUGCAGUGGCUCAUUCCUAUAAUCCUAGCAUUUUGGGAGUCCAAGGUGAGUGGAUUUCUUGAGGCCAGGAGUUCAAGACCAGCUUGGGCUACAUGGCGAAACCCAUCUAUACAAAAAAAUACAAAAAUUAGCCAGUUGUGGUGGUGUGCACCUGUGGUCCCAGCUACUCAGGAAGCUGAAGUCAGAGGAUCACCUGAGCCCAGGAGGUCAAGGCCAUGGUCAUGCCACUGCACUCCAGCCUGAGUGACAGAGUGAGACCUUGCCUCAGAGAAAAAAAAAGAAAUGAAUGAUCCCUACAGUGAAAACUAUAAAACAUUGAUGCAAUAAAUUGAAGUGGACACACAAAAAUUGGAUAUUCUAUGUUAAUGGAUUGGAAGAAUUAAUAUUGUUAAAAUGUCCAUACUACCCAAAGCAUUCUACAGAUUCAGUGCAAUCCCUAUUAAGGUACCAAUGACAUGCCUCACAGAAAUAGAAAAAAUAAUCCUAAAGUUUAUAUGGAACCACAAAAGACCCAGAAUAGGUAAAGCCAUCUUAAGCAAAAAGAACAAAACUGGAGGAAUCACAUUACAUAACUUCAAAUUAUACAACAGAGCUAUAGUAAUCAAAACAGCAUAAUACUUGCAUAAAAACAGACACAUAGACUAAUGGAACAGAAUAGAGAACCCAGAAGUAAAUCCAGUCAUCUACAGUGAACUCAUUUUUUACAAAGGUGCCAAGAACAUACAUAGGGGAAAGGACAGUCUCUUCAAUAAAUAGUGCCAGGAAAACUGGAUAUUCAUAUGUAGAAGAAUGAAGCUAGACUCCUAUCUCUCACCAUAUACAAAAAUCAAUACAAAAUGAAUUAAAGACCUGAAGACCUCAAACCAUGAAACUACUAAAAGAGCAACUUUGGGGAAACUCUCCAGGAAAUUGGUCUGGGCAAAGAUUUCUUGAGUAAUACCCCCAAAGCACAGGCAACCAAGGCAGAAAUGGACAAAUGAGAUCAUAUCAAGUUAAAAAGCUUCUGUACAGUGAAGGAAAUAAUCAAGAAAGUGAAGGGACAACCCACAGGAUGGGAGAAGAUAUUUGCAAAUUAUCCAUCUGAUGAGACAUUAAUAACCAGCAUGUAUGAGGAGCUCAAACAACUCUAUAGAAAAAAAAUCUGGCCAGGCGCGGUGGCUCAAGCCUGUAAUCCCAGCACUUUGGGAGGCCGAGGCAGGUGGAUCACAAGGUCAAGAGAUCGAGACCAUCCUGGUCAACAUGGUGAAACCCCGUCUCUACUAAAAAUAUAAAAAAAAAAUUAGCUGGGCAUGGUGGCGCAUGCCUGUAGUCCCAGCUACUCGGGAGGCCGAGGCAGGAGAAUUGCCUGAACCCAGGAGGCGGAGGUUAGGGUGAGCUGAAAUCGUGCCAUUGCACUCCAGCCAGCCUGGGUAACAAGAGCGAAACUCCGUCGAAAAAAAAAGAAAAAAAAUCUAAUCCAAUUAAAAAAUGGACAGAAAUAGAAAAAAAUUCUAAAAUGUAUAAGAUCUGAAUAGACAUUUCUCAAAAGAAGACAUACAAAUGACAGAUAUAUGAAAAGGUGCCCAACAUCACUGAUCAUCAGAGAAAUGCACAUCAAAACUGCAAUGAGAUAUCUCACCCCAGUUAAAAUGGCUUCUAUUCAAACGGCAGGCAAUAAUGGAUGCAAGGUAGUAUGUGAAGAAAAGAGAACCCUUGUACACUAUUGGUGGGAAUGUAAAUUAGUGAAGCCACUGAGGAGAAUAGUGUGGAAGUACCUCACAAACCUAAAAAUAGAACUACCACGUGAUCCAGCAAUCCUGCUAGGUAUAUACGCAAAAGAAAGGAAAUCAGUAUAUCAAAGAGAUACCUGCACUCCCAUGUUUAUUGCACUAUUCACAAUGGCCAAGAUUUGGAAGCAGCAUAAGUAUCCAUGAAUGGAUGAAUGGAUGAAGAAAAUGUGGCGCAUGUGUACAAUGGAGUACUGUUCAGCCACAAAAAAGAAGCAAAGGCAACUGGAAAAAGCCUAUUUUUUUUUCCAAGAAAUUGUGCUGGAACAACUGGAUAUCCACAUAGAAAAUAAUGUAUUUAGACAUCCUUUGCCUUUUAUGAAAGUUAAAAACACAGACCUAAAAGCAACAUGCGAAACCAAAACUCCUAUAAAAUAAUAGAAAGUUUAAGUGAAUUUGGGUUGUACAAUGACUUCUUUUUAAAUUUUAUUUUACUUCUUUUUUUAGAGAUGGAGGUCUCUGUUGCCCAGGCUGGAGUGCAGUGCUGCAAUCAUAGCUGACUGUAACCUUGAAUUCUUGGGCUCAAGCAAUCCUCCUGCCUCAGCCUCCCAAGUAUCAAAGACUAUAGGUGUGCACCACCACACCCAGCUAAUUUUAAAAAGCUUUUAAUAGAGAUAGGGUCUCCCUAUGUUGCUCAGGCUGGUCUUGAACUCAUGGCCUCAAGCAAUCCUCCACCCUCAACCUCCCAAAGUGCUGAGAUUAUAGGCAUGAGCCACCAUGCCCAGCCUGACUUUUUAGAUACAAUACCAAAAGCGUGAUCAUGAAAGGAAAAAACUGUUAAGUUGAACUUCAUUAAAAUUAGGAACUUCUGCUCUGCAAAAGAUAAUAGUAAGAGAAUGAAAAGUUAUGGACUAGAAAAUAAUAUUUGCAAAGCACAUAUCUGAUAAAGGACUGGUAUCAAAAACAUGCACAAAAAAAAACCUCUUAAAUCUCAACAGUGAGAAAACAACCCAAUUAAAAAAACGGGCAAAAGAUCUAGGCAGACACCUCUUUAGAGAAGACCUAUACAGCUGACAAAUAAGCAUAUGAAAAGAUGCUUAACCUCUUAUGUCAUUGGGGAAUAGCACAUUAAAACAGUGAGAUUUGGGUGUGGUGGCUCACACCUGUAAUCCCAGCACUUUGGAAGGCCAAGGUGGGUGGAUCACUUCAGCCCAGGAGUUCCAGACCAGCCUGGCCAGUAUGGCAAAACCCCAUCUCUACUAAAAAAAAAAAAAAAAAAAAAAAUUAGCUGGGUGUGGUGGUGCAUGCCAGUAGUCCCAGCUACUUGAGAGGCUGAGGCAUGAGAAUUGUUUGAACCUGGGAGGCAGAGGUUGUAGUGAGCCAAGAUCACACCACUUCACGCUAGCCUAGGUGACAGAGCACGACUCUGUCUCAAAAAACCCAUAAAUAGAAAAAACAGUGAGCUACCACUACACCCAUUAGAGUGGCUAAAAUCCCAAACAUGGACAAUAUGAAAUGCUAGUGAGGAUGUGGAAUGACGGGGACUCUGAUUCAGCGCUGGUGGGAAUGCAAAAUGGUAUCGCUACUUUGGAAAACAACUUGGCGCUCUUACAAAGCUUACGUAGUCUUACUGUCUAUCUAAUAGUCAUGUUCCCAGAUAGUUACUCAAAUGAGCUGAAAACAUGUCAACACAAAAACCUGCACAUGAAUGUUUAUAGUAGCUUUAUUGAUAAAUUGCCAAAACUUGGAGCAAACUAAAAUGUCUUUCAAUCAGUAGGUGGAUAAACAAACUGUGGUACAUCCCUACAAUAGGGUAUGAUUAAGAGAUUAAAAAGAAAGAAGCUGGCCAAGUGUGGUGGCCCACACCUGUGAUCCCAGCACUUUGGGAGGCCGGGGCAGGGGGAUCACAAGGUCAGGAGUUCAAGACUAGCCUGGCCAACAUAGUGAAACCCUGUCCCUACUAAAAAUACAAAAAUUAGCCAGGCGUGGUGGCGCACGCCUGUAAUCCCAGUUACUCAGGAGGCUGAGGCAGAAGACUUGCUUGAACCUGGGAGGUGGAGGUUGCAGUGAGCCAUGAUCACACCACUGCACUUCAACCUGGGCAACAAGACAGGGUGAGACUCCAUCUCAAAAAAAAAGAAAGAAAAGAAAGAAGCUAUCAAGACACGCAAAGAUAUGAAGGAACCUUAAAUGAACAUUGCUAAGUGAAAGAAGCCAGUCUGAAGAGGCUACAUACUACAUGAUUCCAACUCUGUGACAUUCUGGCAAAGGCCACACUAUAGAGACAGUUAAAAAUAGUGGUUGCCAGAGGUUCCAGAGAGGAAAAAGGAAAGGGAAAGAGAUGAGCAGGUAGUGCACAGGGAAUUUUUAGAGCAGUGAAACUGCUCUGUGUGAUGCCAUGACAGUAGAUACAUGUCAUUAUACAUUUGUCAAAACACAUAAGAUGCACAGCACAGAGUGAAGCCUAAUGUAAAUUAUGGGCUUCAGUUAAUAAUGUCUCAAUAGUAGUUCAUCAGUUCUAACAAAUGUACCGCGCUAACACGAGGGAAAUCUGGGGGAAACUGUGAGGGGAGGGAGGAGAUAUAUGGGAACUCCAUAUUUUUUGCUCGAUUUUUUCUAUAAACUUAAACCUGCUCUUAAAACCAAUGCCUAUUAAUUGUUAAAAAAUAUAAUACCAAUAAUUGGCAAGGAAGUAGGGAAACUGAAAUCCUCAUAUAUUGCUGGUGGGAAUGUAAAAUUGUACAACCAUGUUAGAAAACAGAUUAACAGUUUCUUUUCUUUUCCUUUUUUUUUUUUUGAAUCAAGGUCUUUCUCUGUCACUCAGGCUGAAGUGCAGUGGCAUGAUUACAGCUCACUGCAGCCUCAACCACCUGGACCCAAGCGAUCCUCCUACCUCAGCCUCCUGACUAGCUGGGACCACAGGUGUGCACUACCAUGCCCAGCUAAAUUAAAAAUUUUUAGUAUAGACAGGGUCUCCCUAUGCUGCCCAGGCUGGUCUCGAACGCCUUGGUUGAAAUGAUCCUACCACCUCAGCCUCCCAAAGUGCUGGGAUUACCAGCACUAGCAUGCUGGCAUGAGCCACUGCACCCAGCUGGCAGUUUCUUAAAAGCUAAAAAUAAGGUUAUCAUUUGACCCAACAGUUCAACUCCCAGGACUCUACUAAAACAAAUGAAAACAAAUCCACACAAAGACUUCCGCAUGAACGUUCUAAACAGCAUUAUUGAUGACAGCAAAAUCUAGAAACAACCCAAACGUCCAUCAGCUGAUGAAUGGAUAAACAAAGGCGGCAUUUCCAUGCAAUGGAUCUACUCAGUAAUAAAAGGAGUGAGGCACUGACACGUGCUACCGCAUGAUGAACCUCAGAAACUGUGCUAAGGAGAAGCAGCCAGACCCGGAGACUGCAUGGUGUACAACCCUCCUUAUAUGAAGUCGUUCAUACUGACAGAAAGCAAUUCAAUGGAUUACCCAGAGCAGGAGGUGGGAGCAGGGAUUAACCACAAAACAGUCUCCAGGAAAUUCUGGGGGGUGAUGUAAAACUAGAUGGUGGUGAUGGUUGCACAACUCUAAAUUCAUUUAAAAUCA
This is an RNA transcript of Callithrix jacchus (white-tufted-ear marmoset), 12658 nucleotides long. It is a transcript of the gene named aldehyde dehydrogenase 3 family member A2, with no coding region annotated. The record is from RefSeq and is a predicted model, not a curated record. NCBI's taxonomy places the organism in Eukaryota, Metazoa, Chordata, Mammalia, Primates, Cebidae.